GUUUAAGAUUUGGAUUAGGAUUUGAUUUAGGAUUUAGAAUUUGAUUAUUAUUUGGUUUAGGAUUUAGGAUUUGGAUUAGGGUUUGAUUUUGGGUUUAAAAUUUAGUUAGGUUUUGAUUUAAGAUUUGGAUUAGGAUUUGAUUUUGGGUUUAAAGUUUAGUUAGGAUUUGAUUUAGGAUUUAGGAUUUGAUUAAGGUUUAAUUUAGGAUUUAAGAUUUGUAUUAGAGUUUGGUUAGGAUUUGGUUUAGGAUUUGAUUGAGAUUUGGUUUAAGGUUUGUUUAGGGUUGGAUUUAGGGUUUGGUUUAGGAUUUGGUUAGGAUUUUAUUUAGGAUUUGGAUUAGGAUUUGGUUUAGGGUUUGAUUAGGAUUUGGUUUAGGAUUUGGUUGGAGUUUGAUUUAUGGUUUGUUUAGGGUUUGAUUUAGGAUUUAGGAUUUAGGAUUUAGGAUUUGUUUAGGAUUUAAGAUUUAAUUAAUUUUGGCCUAAAGUUUGAAUGAAGUCCAAUAGGAUUUUAACUAGGAUUAAAUUAAGAUUGAUUUGAGAUAUAUUUGAGAGAUAUUUGUCAUUAUUCUAAUAUUUCUUUAAGAUUUCUUAUUGUUUCUUUGAAAUUUCUUUGAAGUUUCUUUAAAUUUGAUUAAGCUUAUUUAGCAUUAUUGUGGUCCAAUUAG
Molecule: long non-coding RNA, 664 nt
Filed under: Physcomitrium patens
Lineage: Eukaryota; Viridiplantae; Streptophyta; Bryopsida; Funariales; Funariaceae
Description: long non-coding RNA (PPAT_LNC012392)
Source: RNAcentral